Molecule: ribosomal RNA, 512 nt
Filed under: Anelpistina multispinata
Lineage: Eukaryota; Metazoa; Arthropoda; Insecta; Zygentoma; Nicoletiidae
Description: partial 16S ribosomal RNA
Rfam family: Bacterial large subunit ribosomal RNA
Source: RNAcentral
GGCCCCAUGGUCUAAAAACAAAAUAGUAUACAAGGUAUGGGGUUUGGCCUGCUCUAUGACAUAGUUUAAUGGCCGCGGUAUUUUGACCGUGCAAAGGUAGCAUAAUCAUUAGUCCUUUAAUUGGGGUCUGGGAUGAAGGGUUGGACGAGGGAGAGACUGUCUAGGUUUAGAUUCUUGAAAUUUACUUUUUAGUGAAAAGGCUAAAAUUGUCCUGGGGGACGAUAAGACCCUAUAGAUCUUUACAGUUUGCGGGGUUUAAUAGAGAUACUGUAAGUUGUUUUGUUGGGGUGAUGGAGAGAUACAGUAACCUCUCUUAAGGAAAGAGUGCGUAUGGGCAUUUGGUAGAUCCGUGGUUGAACGAUAAGUGGAUUAAGUUACCUUAGGGAUAACAGCGUAAUUCUUCUUGAGAGUUCUUAUCGACAGGAGAGUUUGCGACCUCGAUGUUGGAUUAAGAUGUCUUGACGGUGUAGAAGCUGGUCAGAGAAAGUCUGUUCGACUUUUAAUAUCUUACA